CAAUAGCGUAUAUUAAAGUUGUUGCGGUUAAAAAGCUCGUAGUUGGAUUUCUGCCGAGGACGACCGGUCCGCCCUCUGGGUGUGUAUCUGGUUUGGCCUGGGCAUCUUCUUGGAGAACGUAGCUGCACUUGACUGUGUGGUGCGGUGUCCAGGACUUUUACUUUGAGGAAAUUAGAGUGUUUCAGGCAGGCUCGCGCCGGAAUACAUUAGCAUGGAAUAAUGGAAUAGGACUUUAGCCUCUUCUGUUGGUCUGAGGGGUUGAAGUAAUGAUUAAUAGGGAUAGUUGGGGGCAUUAGUACUUAACUGUCAGAGGUGAAAUUCUCGGAUUUGUUAAAGACUAACUUAUGCGAAAGCAUUUGCCAAGGAUGUUUUCAUUAA
Molecule: ribosomal RNA, 378 nt
Filed under: uncultured eukaryote
Lineage: Eukaryota
Description: partial 18S ribosomal RNA
Rfam family: Eukaryotic small subunit ribosomal RNA
Source: RNAcentral